Long non-coding RNA from Ictalurus punctatus (channel catfish), 274 nucleotides. The record is from Ensembl. Lineage: Eukaryota; Metazoa; Chordata; Actinopteri; Siluriformes; Ictaluridae.
CUCGACUGUGUUGGCACCUACAACAGCAUUCCAGCAGAUCCUCCCCACCAAUGAAUGCAGUGCUGUAGAGGAGGAGCUCACAUGGGUAAGAUACAACAAAGAACAUCUGUGGGAGAGAGAGAGGGGGCCACAUCAUGCUCACUGACUUUGAAGGUCACCAGACACCCGUGCUGCCAAGAUGUUUACAUUUCUGAGCUGAUAGAAGAGGGAGCAGCUCUAGGGCUGGAGAGCUGCUGGUGCAUGUCAUCUUUUAAGCAGAUGUAGGAAUGCCUCA